This 1747-nucleotide long non-coding RNA is filed under the name Salmo salar (Atlantic salmon). RNAcentral describes it as "lncRNA (ENSSSAG00000113413.1)". The record is from RNAcentral. Lineage: Eukaryota; Metazoa; Chordata; Actinopteri; Salmoniformes; Salmonidae.
ACAGUAUGUUCUUUUUGAGUUGGUCCAUGAACUCCAAAAGGGUCAACUAAUAUUUACUUUCACAGGACAAUGUCCUCCACGGACUUGCUGUUCAAAUACACAACCAGUGUAAUUUAGUUUCAUCAUUAUAUUACGGAUGCUGAGAUGAGAGUGAAAUCACCAGAAAGUAGGUGAUAUAGAGAGUAAUAGUAAGAUAGUCACUGAAAGAGAAUAAUGCUGCUCAGAAGCAUCACUUCUUGCCUCCCAUCUUCAGCAACUAUAGACAACCUGUUCUCAGUGGCCAGGGCAGGCAGCUUGGUUCCUGAUAUCUCUCUGGAUGACACACUGCAAAGCUUCCUAUCCCUGGACUCAAGUGCUGCUCUCGAACAACAUUGUGCAGACAUUCAGCAACACUUGUCUGCUGAACAACUCACUGUUUUCAACCAGGACCUGACGUCUUUAUUGGGAGGGAGCACAAAUGUGGCCUUGGGGGGUGUGGGUGUUGUGGCACUAGCCCUGUCUCUACUCUUUGAUGUCUUAGCCCACAAGGCAAAAAGGCAUGGGGACAGCAAGAAUGCUAUGGACCCUACCAAAAUGAUCUUUGGAAUCAGCAAUUCCUCAAGAAUUGGGUCCCUCAUCAGUGAAUACCUGAAGCUGGUCCCUGAGAUAGCCAAUGAUAUGAACAAGAUGGCGGAGGUGACAGAGCUCUAUGACCAGUACCUGAAGUAUGAGCUGAUUGACCAUUUUGAGAGGAUGACGAACAAGAAACGCAUGGGGUCAGUGGCCAUGAAACAGUGGCUGUGUGGGGCAUCUUUCCACCUGCACAUGAGGAUUCAUGAGAUCCGCUUGGGCUCCGUUCCACGAGGCUCAGCAGAAGCACUGCGUCUCUCCUACAAGACUGCGUUCACAAGCCUGGUCAAGCUCUAUACAGCCCACCUACGCAAAAAUAUCCAGGAGACACCACCGGAGCCAGGAGCCAACAGCAUGCCAGGGACUCCUGGUCAUUGAGCCCCACAAGAACGUCACACACAGAGUUCAACACAGUCCCUGUGAGUCCAAGGUCAUUGAAGACCUCCUGCUGGCCCGGAUCAUUGCUGCUCAGGACAUUGAGCAGAGUAAAUACUUCUUUCUGCAUACUGAAAGUGACUUUGAUGAUCUGAUCAAACAACGGGGAGAUUUUGAGCUGAAGAAAUGAAUGAAAUCAUAUUUAUCUGCAUAAUGCACAGUGGUAGAAAUAACGAUUUUUACUCUUAUAGUUGGCUUAUUACCUGUAAUUAAUGUCUACUCAUGUUACAAACACAAAAAAUAUUUGAUUACCACAUAAUAAAGUAACAAAAAUUGAGAUAAACCAGCAUUCAUAAUGUUCUGUAGUGUGGGACUUCGGCACACAUUCCUAUUUACAGGGGGUCCUGUGUAAAAAGGGGGUGUUGUGUGAGGAGAUUGUGGUGAUUGGAUGUUGGAGGGUUCUGAAGAGGAACGGUAUUAGGAGAGGACCUCUGACAGGUUCAUUGAUAAUGUUGUAGAGUUGUAUAACUGUGGUAUAGUAUUAAUGCGCUGACCAAUCUCAUGCAUCUGUUUCAUACAUGGCUUCUGUUCCUGUGCCUUCCGUAUCACUGGUUAGCUACCUUGAGCUGAUAGCUAUAUCAAUUGUGUGUGUGUGUGUGUGUGUGUGUGUGUGUGUGUGUGUGUGUGUGUGUGUGUGUGUGUGUGUGUGUGUGUCUGUCUGUCUGUCUGUCUGUCUGUCUGUCUGUCUGUCUGUCUGUCUGUC